Long non-coding RNA from Fukomys damarensis (Damara mole-rat), 320 nucleotides. RefSeq lists it as uncharacterized. NCBI's taxonomy places the organism in Eukaryota, Metazoa, Chordata, Mammalia, Rodentia, Bathyergidae. The record is from RefSeq and is a predicted model, not a curated record. The transcript is spliced from 3 exons.
CAGUCAGUUGGCUCCAAGGCAGAGGGCAGGGCAGAGAAGAAAGAAUUUCUGGCCCAGCAGAAAGAGGGCAAGGGAGGAGGCGGAGACGGACUUUCUGGCCAUGCCCCAGGGACUUCCUUCUCCAACCAGGCUGCAGUCUCCACCUCACACUUAGUUAUACGCUUAUCAGAGGACAAAGCCACUUGGAGCUGGCUCACCAUUUAGAUCCCCUGAGCUUCCCACCAUGUCUGCUUCCACUGGGAAAGGAUGCUAGCUUUCUUUCCAGCCUACAUAGGAGCAGAGAAAAGAUGCCUCAUCUUUGACAAAGGAGCCAACCAGCC